This 1436-nucleotide ribosomal RNA is filed under the name uncultured bacterium. Its description in RNAcentral is "bacterial SSU rRNA". It matches the Rfam family "Bacterial small subunit ribosomal RNA". The record is from RNAcentral.
AGAGUUUGAUCCUGGCUCAGAACGUACGCUGGCGGCACGCCUAAUACAUGCAAGUCGAACGAAGUAGCAAUACUUAGUGGCAGACGGGUGAGUAACAUGUGGGUAUCUUCCCUUUGGUGAGGAAUAACACGAGGAAACUUGUGCUAAUACCUCAUAAGUCUUUACGGAGAAAGCUUUAUGCGCCAUUGGAUGAGCCCGCACUUGAUUAGUUUGUUGGUGGGGUAAUGGCCUACCAAGACUGUGAUCAAUAGCUGAUUUGAGAGGAUGAUCAGCCACAUUGGGACUGAGACACGGCCCAAACUCCUACGGGAGGCAGCAGUAGGGAAUCUUGCACAAUGGAGGAAACUCUGAUGCAGCGAUGCCGCGUGAGUGAAGAAGGCCUUUGGGUUGUAAAGCUCUUUCGUCGGGGAAGAAAAUGACUGUACCCGAAUAAGAAGGUCCGGCUAACUUCGUGCCAGCAGCCGCGGUAAUACGAAGGGACCUAGCGUAGUUCGGAAUUACUGGGCUUAAAGAGUUCGUAGGUGGUUAAAAUAGUUGGUGGUGAAAUCCCAGAGCUUAACUCUGGAACUGCCAUCAAAACUUUUUAGCUAGAGUAUGAUAGAGGAAAGCAGAAUUUCUAGUGUAGAGGUGAAAUUCGUAGAUAUUAGAAAGAAUACCAAUUGCGAAGGCAGCUUUCUGGAUCAUUACUGACACUGAGGAACGAAAGCAUGGGUAGCGAAGAGGAUUAGAUACCCUCGUAGUCCAUGCCGUAAACGAUGUGUGUUAGACGUUGGAAAUUUAUUUUCAGUGUCGCAGCGAAAGCGAUAAACACACCGCCUGGGGAGUACGACCGCAAGGUUAAAACUCAAAUGAAUUGACGGGGACCCGCACAAGUAGUGGAGCAUGUGGUUUAAUUCGAAGAUACGCGCAGAACCUUACCAACACUUGACAUGUUCGUCGCGACUCUAAGAGAUUAGAGUUUUCGGUUCGGCCGGACGAAACACAGGUGCUGCAUGGCUGUCGUCAGCUCGUGUCGUGAGAUGUUGGGUUAAGUCCCGCAACGAGCGCAACCCUCACUUUUAGUUGCCAUCAUUAAGUUGGGCACUCUGAAAGAACUGCCAGUGAUAAGCUGGAGGAAGGUGGGGAUGACGUCAAGUCCUCAUGGCCCUUACGUGUUGGGCUACACACGUGCUACAAUGGCAUUUACAAUAGGAAGCAAGGCGGCGACGUCAAGCAAAUCCUAAAAAAAUGCCUCAGUUCGGAUUGCACUCUGCAACUCGAGUGCAUGAAGCUGGAAUUACUAGUAAUCGUGGAUCAGCGUGCCACGGUGAAUGCGUUCCCGGGUCUUGUACACACCGCCCGUCACACCAUGGGAGUUGGUUCUACCUUAAGGCAAAGCUUAAAACCUUUGACCACGGUAUAGUCAGCGACUGGGGUGAAGUCGUAACAAGGUAACC